UACAGAGGUCUCAAGCGUUGUUCGGAUUCAUUGGGCGUAAAGGGUGCGUAGGCGGCGCGGUAAGUCGGGUGUGAAAUCUCGGGGCUUAACUCCGAAACUGCAUUCGAUACUGCCGUGCUUGAGGACUGGAGAGGAGACUGGAAUUCACGGUGUAGCAGUGAAAUGCGUAGAUAUCGUGAGGAAGACCAGUGGCGAAGGCGGGUCUCUGGACAGUUCCUGACACUGAGGCACGAAGGCCAGGGGAGCAAACGGG
Molecule: ribosomal RNA, 253 nt
Filed under: uncultured bacterium
Lineage: Bacteria
Description: partial 16S ribosomal RNA
Rfam family: Bacterial small subunit ribosomal RNA
Source: RNAcentral